Molecule: ribosomal RNA, 460 nt
Filed under: uncultured bacterium
Lineage: Bacteria
Description: partial 16S ribosomal RNA
Rfam family: Bacterial small subunit ribosomal RNA
Source: RNAcentral
CCUACGGGUGGCUGCAGUGAGGAAUAUUGGUCAAUGGGCGCUAGCCUGAACCAGCCAAGUCGCGUGAAGGAUGACUGCUCUAUGGGUUGUAAACUUCUUUUAUAUGGGAGUAAACUGCAGUAUGUAUACUGCUCUGCAUGUACCUUAUGAAUAAGGAUCGGCUAACUCCGUGCCAGCAGCCGCGGUAAUACGGAGGAUCCGAGCGUUAUCCGGAUUUAUUGGGUUUAAAGGGAGCGUAGGCGGGUUGAUAAGUCAGUGGUGAAAGUUUGUGGCUCAACUGUAGAAUUGCAGUUGAUACUGGCAGACUAGAGUACAGUUGCGGUAGGCGGAAUUCGUGGGGUAGCGGUGAAAUGCUUAGAGAUCACGAAGAACACCGAUUGCGAAGGCAGCCUGCUGAACUGUAACUGACGUUGAUGCACGAAAGUGUGGGUAUCAAACAGGAUUAGAUACCCGAGUAGUC